UACGUAGGGGGCAAGCGUUGUCCGGAAUCAUUGGGCGUAAAGCGCGUGUAGGCGGUUCGAUAAGUCUGUUGUGAAAGUCCAAGGCUCAACCUUGGGAUGCCGAUGGAUACUGUCGAACUCGAGUCCGGAAGAGGAGUGUGGAAUUCCUGGUGUAGCGGUGAAAUGCGCAGAUAUCAGGAGGAACACCAAUGGCGAAGGCAGCACUCUGGGACGUGACUGACGCUGAGACGCGAAAGCGUGGGGAGCAAACAGG
Molecule: ribosomal RNA, 253 nt
Filed under: uncultured bacterium
Lineage: Bacteria
Description: partial 16S ribosomal RNA
Rfam family: Bacterial small subunit ribosomal RNA
Source: RNAcentral